AUGGUCAACUCGGUGAUCACAUCCCUGGUGAUCUACGCUAUGUGCUCCAUCAAGCUGCCCCCGAAGAUCUUGGAACAUCUCGAUAAGCUUAGGCGCUAUUGUCUCUGGGCGAAGAACACAGAAGAUGGCCACAAAGCAAUGUCCUUGGUGGCGUGGGGCCUGGUUUGUCACCCCAAAGAGAAGGGGGGGUUGGGGAUCAUCGACCUUCAGACUCAGAAUCAAGCCCUGCUGAUUAAGCAGCUGCACAAAUUUUACAACCGCCAUGACGUGUCGUGGGUUAACCUGGUUUGGUCUACGUACUAUGAGGGGUUGGUGCCGCACGCAACUGAACCAUGCGGAUCAUUCUGGUGGUGUGACAUCCUCCAACUUACUCCAGCUUACAGGGGGUCACAAUGGUGGAGGUGGGGGACGGGAGCACGGUUCUCUUUUGGAAAGACUUGUGGCAUGAUCGGAGAAUCUGUGAUAGCC
Molecule: ribosomal RNA, 468 nt
Filed under: Triticum aestivum (bread wheat)
Lineage: Eukaryota; Viridiplantae; Streptophyta; Magnoliopsida; Poales; Poaceae
Description: partial small subunit ribosomal RNA
Source: RNAcentral